RNAcentral lists this ribosomal RNA (327 nucleotides) under Klebsiella pneumoniae. Its description in RNAcentral is "partial 23S ribosomal RNA". It matches the Rfam family "Bacterial large subunit ribosomal RNA", at positions 1090 to 1417 of the family's 2925-position model. The record is from RNAcentral. Lineage: Bacteria; Pseudomonadati; Pseudomonadota; Gammaproteobacteria; Enterobacterales; Enterobacteriaceae.
CAGUCAGGAUGUUGGCUUAGAAGCAGCCAUCAUUUAAAGAAAGCGUAAUAGCUCACUGAUCGAGUCGUCCUGCGCGGAAGAUGUAACGGGGCUAAGCCAGUUACCGAAGCUGCGGAUUUGCAAUUUAUUGCAAGUGGUAGGAGAGCGUUCUGUAAGCCUGUGAAGGUGCCUGGUAACGGGUGCUGGAGGUAUCAGAAGUGCGAAUGCUGACAUGAGUAGCGUUAAAGGGGGUGAAAAGCCCCCUCGCCGUAAGCGCAAGGUUUCCUACGCAACGUUCAUCGGCGUAGGGUGAGUCGGCCCCUAAGGCGAGGCAGAGAUGCGUAGCUG